RNAcentral lists this small RNA (555 nucleotides) under Pongo abelii (Sumatran orangutan). RNAcentral describes it as "processed transcript". The record is from RNAcentral. Lineage: Eukaryota; Metazoa; Chordata; Mammalia; Primates; Hominidae.
AGAGCAGCAGGACAAAGUGCUCGGGACAAGGACAGAGGGCUGAGAGUAGCCAUGGGCUCUGGAGGAGAGAGCCUCCUGGGGGGCAGGGGUUCCCUGCCUCUGCUGCUCCUGCUCAUCAUGGUGGGGGGACCAGAUGAGGAGGAGGAGGAGGAGGAGGAUGAUUAGUGUGUGAGGCAUGGCUCAGGACUCCCCGCCCCAGAUCCUAGUCCACCCCCAGGACCAGCUGUUCCAGGGCCCUGGCCCUGCCAGGAUGAGCUGCCGAGCCUCGGGCCAGCCACCUCCCACCAUCCGCUGGCUGCUGAAUGGGCAUCCCCUGAGCAUGGUGCCCCCAGACCCACACCACCUCCUGCCUGAUGGGACCCUUCUGCUGCUACAGCCCCCUGCCCGGGGACAUGCCCACAAUGGCCAGGCCCUGUCCACAGACCUGGGUGUCUACACAUGUGAGGCCAGCAACCGGCUUGGCACGGCAGUCAGCAGAGGCGCUCGGCUGUCUGUGGCUGUCCUCCGGGAGGAUUUCCAGAUCCAGCCUCGGGACAUGGUGGCUGUGGUGGGUGA